GAUGAACGCUGGCGGCGUGCCUAAUACAUGCAAGUCGAGCGAACGGACGAGAAGCUUGCUUUUCUGAUGUUAGCGGCGGACGGGUGAGUAACACGUGGAUAACCUACCUAUAAGACUGGGAUAACUUCGGGAAACCGGAGCUAAUACCGGAUAAUAUUUUGAACCGCAUGGUUCAAAAGUGAAAGACGGUCUUGCUGUCACUUAUAGAUGGAUCCGCGCUGCAUUUGCUAGUUGGUAAGGUAACGGCUUACCAAGGCAACGAUGCAUAGCCGACCUGAGAGGGUGAUCGGCCACACUGGAACUGAGACACGGUCCAGACUCCUACGGGAGGCAGCAGUAGGGAAUCUUCCGCAAUGGGCGAAAGCCUGACGGAGCAACGCCGCGUGAGUGAUGAAGGUCUUCGGAUCGUAAAACUCUGUUAUUAGGGAAGAACAUAUGUGUAAGUAACUGUGCACAUCUUGACGGUACCUAAUCAGAAAGCCACGGCUAACUACGUG
RNAcentral lists this ribosomal RNA (497 nucleotides) under uncultured bacterium. RNAcentral describes it as "partial 16S ribosomal RNA". It matches the Rfam family "Bacterial small subunit ribosomal RNA", at positions 28 to 507 of the family's 1533-position model. The record is from RNAcentral.